UACGAAGGGGGCUAGCGUUGUUCGGAAUUACUGGGCGUAAAGGGCGCGUAGGUGGCCCGCUCAGCGUGCGGUGAAAGCCUGGGGCUCAACCCCGGGUCGGCCGUGCGAACUGGUGGGCUGGAGCACUGUAGAGGCAGGCGGAAUUCCGGGUGUAGCGGUGGAAUGCGUAGAGAUCCGGAAGAACACCGGUGGCGAAGGCGGCCUGCUGGGCAGUGGCUGACACUGAGGCGCGACAGCGUGGGGAGCAAACAGG
Molecule: ribosomal RNA, 253 nt
Filed under: uncultured bacterium
Lineage: Bacteria
Description: partial 16S ribosomal RNA
Rfam family: Bacterial small subunit ribosomal RNA
Source: RNAcentral